Molecule: unclassified non-coding RNA, 365 nt
Filed under: Hevea brasiliensis (rubber tree)
Lineage: Eukaryota; Viridiplantae; Streptophyta; Magnoliopsida; Malpighiales; Euphorbiaceae
Source: RNAcentral
ACCCUGUGGUCUGGUCUCAGGUCCCCUGAACCCUUGAACCGGCCCGGACCAAACCAGCAUCAAGGUCUAGGUGGGGAUGUAACUGAGUAAUGUGCUGGUCCCUUGCCUUUCUCAUUGCAUUUUGAAAGUGGGAAAUGGGGAAGGAUAUCAUGAUGUGCAUCUCUUUCAACACAACAGUAUGAGCAAAAGUUUUUUGUCAAUACAUUGUAAACUUGAUGUAAAGCAUAUUUAUUUUUUCCGGCAUUAGAUUGGUGUUUCUCUCUCUCUUUUUUCGAAAUAACUAUUAUCAAGAUCAUAAAAUUCUAAUUUACAUAUUCUUUUCUUUCUUCUAUGGGAAAUCUCAGUUACAUAACUCUUUAUCAAAA